Non-coding RNA from Chelonoidis abingdonii (Abingdon island giant tortoise), 790 nucleotides. Lineage: Eukaryota; Metazoa; Chordata; Testudines; Testudinidae. The record is from RefSeq and is a predicted model, not a curated record.
CUGUGUGCUGCGGGGGGGGCACUAGGGGGCGCUCUCCCCUCUGUCGGUGCUGACCCCGGUGCCCCUGCGUGGCCCUUGGGGCACUGUGCUGCCAGAGAUGCCAUUCUCAGGGGAGACAUUGUAGCCCUGACUCUCACCCUGAUUCUUCAGGCCCCAUGUGCUGUCCCGUUAGCCCUGGCAUCCUGGCCCAGUCGGCCCCCACGUCCCCUCAGGACUGUGCUGGGGCUACUGCCCUGAGCUGCUUGUUGCGCUAGGCUGUUAGCCAACUGCCGGGGGCCACCCCAGAGGAGGCUGCACACUGGUGCUGGGAGGGAUCCUUUGGCCUGGGAGGGCUCGCAAGACGGGGGCUGGUGUGACUCCCCUCACUCUUUUGCAGAGGAGCCGUCGGCCGCGUGCCAACGCUACACCGAGGUGCGGAACAUUACCAAGGGGCGCUGCACCCUGCCCGGCGUGGAGGUGAGCUACUGCAGCGGGCGCUGUGCCUCCCGCACCAACGUCAUCUCCGAGGAGCCGUACCUGCAGACACUGUGUGACUGCUGCAGCUACCACCUGGACCCCGUGAGCCCCGUGCGCAUCCUGAGCCUGCCGUGCGAGGACGGGGAGGUGGAGCCAGUGGUGCUGCCCGUCAUCCACAGCUGUGACUGCAGCCCCUGCCAGGGUGGGGACUUUCCCGAGCGCUGAUGACCUGUGGCCCGGGCGGGACAGGGUCUGUGCCGGCGGCUGAGGCGUGGCAAAGACAGUGAGAUCGCAGCAUGCGUCCCAGCUGCAGGUCCCCCAGGGCCCCCCACGC